RNAcentral lists this ribosomal RNA (267 nucleotides) under Triticum aestivum (bread wheat). RNAcentral's name for it is "partial small subunit ribosomal RNA". The record is from RNAcentral. Lineage: Eukaryota; Viridiplantae; Streptophyta; Magnoliopsida; Poales; Poaceae.
GGAUGCAACCGCCUUGUUAUUAAUUAUGAUAAUAUGGAGGUCAUUGAUAUCAUGGAGAAUGGAGAACAUUCUACGGGAGCGGCGACAACUGUUUUUGAUGAUUGCUAUUUUUGGCAUGUGAUACUAGUUUUGAACAUGGAAGCGAAUAAGGUAGCUCAUGAACUUGCUAGGUUAGCUAGAUUUUCUGCGACUAAGUAUUGGUUUGAGGAGCCUCUGGACGAAAUUGUACCUCUUCUUAUAGAUGAUGUAACCAUUAUUUCAAAAUAA